AGGAGCAACAGCCCCAGUGGCGGGGCCAGCUCUAGAGCCCUGGAGUCAGCCCCCGCAGUAGCUCCGGAGCUCUCCGUCUGCAGGGCCUGGAGGCUCCGGGGCGGG
RNAcentral lists this microRNA precursor (105 nucleotides) under Canis lupus familiaris (dog). RNAcentral's name for it is "mir-8834 microRNA precursor family". It matches the Rfam family "mir-8834 microRNA precursor family". The record is from Rfam by way of RNAcentral. Lineage: Eukaryota; Metazoa; Chordata; Mammalia; Carnivora; Canidae.